Leucoraja erinaceus (little skate) is the source of this 4260-nucleotide long non-coding RNA. RefSeq lists it as uncharacterized. NCBI's taxonomy places the organism in Eukaryota, Metazoa, Chordata, Chondrichthyes, Rajiformes, Rajidae. The transcript has 2 exons. The record is from RefSeq and is a predicted model, not a curated record.
AAGACUAUAAGAGUCCUAUAACUUGUGAUAAGCGCAAGCAAGAUCAUCCUGAAGCACUUCACUCUGAGAAGAAGUCAGAGCAAAUAGAACAGACGGAGAAGCCAGCUACUAGUGAUGCUGAUAGACCUAUAUCACUGUUAAAUGUAGAUUCCAAAAUUCUUUCCAAAAUAUUAGCUAUGAGAUUGGAAAAUAUUUUACCGCAAAUUAUUUCUGAAGAUCAGACAGGUUUUAUUAAAAAUCGUUACUCAUACUUUAACGUUAGGAGAUUAAUGAAUAUUGUAUAUACUAUACAGCAUCAAAUAAAAUUCCAGAAUGUGUCAUUUCACUUGAUGCUGAGAAGGCGUUAGCCAGGUAAAAAUCCACGAGGCCCAUUGAUUUUAUGUAAAGAAACGGCUGUAAACAGAACAGUCAGUAUACCUUUUCACUUGACCUUUCAAUUACAGUAAGUGUAAAAAGCAAUGCCGAACUACUAUCUACUUCUUUGAUGACCCUUGGACUAUCCUUGAUCGCUUUGCUGGCUUUAUCUUGCACUAAACGUUAUUCCCUUAUCAUGUAUCUAUACACCGUAAAUGGAUUGAUUGUAAUUAUGCAUUGUCUUUCUGCUGGUCAGCACGCAACAAAAGCUUUUCACUGUACCUUGGUGCAUGUAACGAUAAACUGAACUGAACUUGUAUUUCUUUGCAUGUCAAUAUUUUGUUAUGUUAAUAAUUUUAACUUUUGCAAGCAUUUUUACAUUUUAAUUGUGCCUAAGUGUCCGUGAUAUUUGUAUGCCACAUUGAGCCUCUCCGAUCAACCAAGGCUCAGCUUCUCAUCAGCAGACUGUAUUCUGUCCUCUUUUGGAAUUUAUGCGCAAUAGAGCCAUCUAUUGGACUUAUAUUGUUAAAGGUCAGUUGCACAGGAAGUAGGAAGCAGGAAGUAGUCUCCUGUCUUUGUUUUUUUCUGUCAUGUUCAGCUGCAGAAGCAAUCCAUCCCAAUCCUAGCUUGCUACGCUUAAGAAAGCAACGACUAUACUACCAGGCCACGAAGGUAUUUCAAGCAUCUCAAGUUUCAGAGCCCCGACUGCAAAUUCAACCCGCCAUUCCCGAUUCCCAAUGAGGUUGAGAUUGGCCGACUCACCCUUUUCAGCGGCUCAUUCUCAGGGAGACUUCAGGGGAGAUUUGUCUGGAUUAAAUGGGGAGGGGCUGGAUCACCAGUGGCCGGAAAAUUGUGUUGAGCCUAUAAUUAUAUUUGAAUUCAUCUGUUUUGGUUUGAAAUGGCCUAGCUUUUUAGUAUCUCAACAAAGCUGAGACCACGCGCCAACUCUCGGACACCUCCUCCUACUUACCCCUGGACCAUGACCCCACUGACGAGCACCAGGCCACCAUCUCCAGCACAAUCACCGACUUCAUCAACUCCAAUGCCCUACCCGACCGAGCCUCCAACCUCAUCGUUCCCCAGCCCCGCACGGCCCGAUUUUACCUUCUCCCCAAAAUCCACAAACCUGACUGUCCCGGAAGACCCAUUGUCUCUGCCUGUUCGUGCCCCACCAAACUCAUUUCCAAAUACCUUGACUCCAUCCUAUCCCCCUUAGUUAAAUCCCUCCCUACCUAUGUUCAAGACACCUCAGAUACUCUCCGUCGUCUCCGCGCAUUCCAUUCUCUAGGCCCUCACCCCCUCAUCUUCACCAUGGACGUCCAGUCACUUUACACCUCCAUCCCCCACCAGGAUGGUCUCAAAGCCCUCCGGUUCUUCCUCGAUCAGAGAAGCAACCUAUACCCAGCCACUGACACUCUCCUCCGCCUAGUGGAGCUGGUCCUUACCCUCAAUACUUCACGUUCGACUCCUCCCAUUUCCCCCAAACACAAGGCGUAGCUAUGGGCACACGCAUGGGCCCCAGCUACGCCUGCCUAUUUGUCGGUUACAUCGAGCAAUCCUUGUUCAAUACAUACCAGGGCCCCAACCCCGACCUCUACCUCCUGCACCCGCACACAACUGACUGACUUCAUCCACUUCACCACUAACUUCCAUCCGGCACUCAAAUACACCUGGACCACCCACACAGUCACAGGGAGUACGCACAAACUCCAUACAGAUACCACCCGUAAUCAGGAUCGAACCUGGGUCUCUGGAGCUGUCAGGCAGCAACUCUACUACUGUGCUGGUAUUAAAGAAGCACACAAAUAUUGAGAGCAAUUAUUGACAAAAGUGCUGAUUAAUUUGAACUUCAGUAUGAUCUUACAAUAUUUAAAAAAAACCAGCACAAAAGAUUUUCUCUGUUUAUAAUUCUGUGUUUUGCACUUUUGUAUUUGGUUGGCUCAUGGCAAUUAGAUUAGUCAAUUGGCAAUGAAAAUAUAUCUAACCUUAUGAACAUGUUAAACUAUUUUUCAUAUUUUCAACUGCAUCCAUUAUAGUUAAGGCUCAAGCUCAUUCUGUUUAGAUUUUUGGUCAUUUUAACUUUCUAAAGUUAAAUUUAAUUAUUUCCCAGCUCUUUUUUCUUGGGAUUUCAUCUUUCAUCAAAUUUCACCUAAAGUAAUAAUUAUCCUGUCAUUUUUGUAUCAGCAAUGUCUUGUCUCGACUUUGCCAAUCCAGGUCAACGAAACAGUUCCAAAGAUAUGCAAUUUCUAUUUUCUAUGCCUAAUGUGAAUAGUAAGAUAUGGCGCCAAAACCUGGUGACUUGUAUAUUGUGUCGGUGGACUACUUCUACACUUUGUAUUUAGUCUAUGGUUUUGUUUAUGUAUAGUUAUGCUUUACUGAACUGUAUGCAAAAAAAUAAUAAUUUCACUGUACCUCUGUGAAAUUGACAAUAAAGAACCAUUGAAUAUUAAUGCAGGAAGAUUUUCUGGUGCAGCUGCAUGAUUAUUGCCCUUAGUUACACAAUAGUCUGGAACACAAGCAUUUCUUUCUGGCAUCUAACCUAAAAGAAACAAUAAACUAAUUUAAUAUAGUCACUUCAUGACGCUGGAAGACUGUACAAAGGAAAAUAUCAGAAAGAUCAGGAUAUACACCAUUUUUUGUUCAAGCACAUUACACAUGCCGUAUCUUACCCUGUAAACUAACUAUGUUUAAAAAAAUAUCAGGUCUGCAAACCUUCCUUUUCUUGACUCUAGCCUUUGAGUCUUCCCCUCCUUCAUCCAAGCAAUAACAUGCCUUAAUUCCAGCCUCUUUGCUCUGAAAUUCUAUCAUCAAAAUCCUUUGGUGCUAUCCACCUGUCGUUUUUAAAAUUCUGCUAAAAAACCUGCAUUAACAACAUCCAUUUGUUAGUCAGGUAUCUGUCCUUUUAUCCAUUUGGACUUCAUGGAUAGCUUUUGCUUUUGUUAUCUGUUAUCCUGACAAAUAGAUAUACACAAAAUGCUGGAGUAACUCAGCAUGACUGGCAGCAUCUCUGGAUAGAAGCAAUGGGUGAUGUUUCUGAUCAAGACCUAUUUCGGUCGAAACAUCACCUAUUCCUGCUAUCCAGACAUGCUGCCUGUCCCAUUGAGUUACUCCACCAUUCUGUGUCUAUCUAAAGUGCAAUGCACAAUUUACCCCAAUUACCCUACAAACAUGUAUGUCUUUGGAGUGCAGGAGGAAACCAGAGCACCUGGCGAAAACCCACAAAGUUCAUGGUGUGAACGUACAAACUCUGUACAGAUAGCAUCCAUGGUCAGUAUUAAACCUGGGUCUCUGGCACUGCAAAGCAGCAACUGUACCGCUGUGCCACCUUGCCACCCUAAUACGUGCAGCAGUUCAGAUAUCUCCUGACACAAGAUAUUAAAUUUCUAUUCCAACUUCCCUUAAAGUGCACAGGUGCAGAUAUUCCUUGUCCUUCACUUUUAAACUUAAAAAAAAAAACACAGAUUCAAUCCAAACAACCGAGCAAUGGGAAACUAUGUUAAUUAUCCACUUUAUUACUAUGUACUGUAAAUCUUUUAAUUUCCUGCCUGAAGGAGUCGUCAUCAAAGAUCCCCACUAUCUGGGCCAUGCCGUUUGAUGCUGCCAUUUGAAGGGAUUCAGAAGCCUGAAGACCACAACCAGAUUCAGUAACAACUGCUAUAACUAUCAGGUUCUUUAACCAACACACCCAACCCUAAUCUCCCCUUGACACCAAACACCAUUGGCCACCUCUUGCACUCACAUGGACUUGUUUUCAUUUCAAGUUGUGUUUUGCACCAAUCUCGUUUAUUUUGCGCACUUUUUUUCUCUUGUUAUGUUAUAGACUUGCAGAAUUUUAUAUGCAAUUUAUUUAUAUAUCAUUUAUAUUGUUAUGUUUUUAUCUAAGUUUAUGUGCCAGUGAUGCGACUG